This 310-nucleotide long non-coding RNA is filed under the name Ictidomys tridecemlineatus (thirteen-lined ground squirrel). RNAcentral describes it as "lncRNA (ENSSTOG00000034474.1)". Lineage: Eukaryota; Metazoa; Chordata; Mammalia; Rodentia; Sciuridae. The record is from RNAcentral.
AGAGAUUUAUUCAGGAAAGCAAGGAAUCCAUAUUCAGGAAGAAUGCGGCUAUCAAGGGAGUGAGAUGCACCUUUUGGGAGCUCAGGCUCUUAGAAAAAAAUCUGGCUUGGGAAGUGACAGCCCUUGGAGAAAAACUGACCAGAGAGCGAAGACAUCUGUGAUGCUCUGCUGGCCUCUGCCUUGCCCCAGGUGUCCUUCAGCAGCUCUUCAGAGCUGUCCAGUAGCCAUGGCUUUGGCUUUGCAAGUCUAAAUCAGAGAGAUGGUGAGUCAGCUGUUGUUUCUGCUCCUUCCUCAGAGAGAGCUUGCAUCU